GGUUCAGUGGUUUAGGGGUAUGAUUCUCGCUUUGGGUGCGAGAGGUCCCGGGUUCAAAUCCCGGCUGAGCCC
This 72-nucleotide transfer RNA is filed under the name Rodentolepis nana. Its description in RNAcentral is "Hymenolepis nana tRNA". It matches the Rfam family "tRNA". From Rfam's summary of the family: Transfer RNA (tRNA) molecules are approximately 80 nucleotides in length. Lineage: Eukaryota; Metazoa; Platyhelminthes; Cestoda; Cyclophyllidea; Hymenolepididae. The record is from Rfam by way of RNAcentral.